This 541-nucleotide ribosomal RNA is filed under the name uncultured bacterium. RNAcentral describes it as "bacterial SSU rRNA". It matches the Rfam family "Bacterial small subunit ribosomal RNA", at positions 777 to 1318 of the family's 1533-position model. The record is from RNAcentral.
AAUAGAUACCCGGGUAGUCCACGCCGUAAACGUUGGAUACUAGGUGUGGCGGUUAUACCAAUGACUGCCGUGCCGAAGCUAACGCAUUAAGUAUCCCGCCUGGGGAGUACGGCCGCAAGGCUAAAACUCAAAGGAAUUGACGGGUCCCCGCACAAGCGGCGGAGCAUGCGGCUUAAUUCGAUGCAGCCCGAAGAACCUUACCUGGGUUUGACAUCACGGGAAAAGCUGUAGAAAUACAGUGUCCAUUAGGGCCCGUGACAGGUGGUGCAUGGCUGUCGUCAGCUCGUGUCGUGAGAUGUUGGGUUAAGUCCCGCAACGAGCGCAACCCUUGUCCUAUGUUGCCAGCGGUUCGGCCGGGGACUCAUAGGAGACUGCCGGGGAUAACUCGGAGGAAGGUGAGGACGACGUCAAGUCAUCAUGCCCCUUAUAUCCAGGGCUGCACGCAUGCUACAAUGGCCGGUACAACGGGCAGCGACCCCGCGAGGGUGAGCGAAUCCUAAAAAGCCGGUCCUAGUUCGGAUUGAAGUCUGCAACUCGACUU